UGAGGAAUAUUGCACAAUGGGCGCAAGCCUGAUGCAGCCAUGCCGCGUGUAUGAAGAAGGCCUUCGGGUUGUAAAGUACUUUCAGCGGGGAGGAAGGGAGUAAAGUUAAUACCUUUGCUCAUUGACGUUACCCGCAGAAGAAGCACCGGCUAACUCCGUGCCAGCAGCCGCGGUAAUACGGAGGGUGCAAGCGUUAAUCGGAAUUACUGGGCGUAAAGCGCACGCAGGCGGUUUGUUAAGUCAGAUGUGAAAUCCCCGGGCUCAACCUGGGAACUGCAUCUGAUACUGGCAAGCUUGAGUCUCGUAGAGGGGGGUAGAAUUCUAGGUGUAGCGGUGAAAUGCGUAGAGAUCUGGAGGAAUACCGGUGGCGAAGGCGGCCCCCUGGACGAAGACUGACGCUCAGGUGCGAAAGCGUGGGGAGCAAACAGG
This 429-nucleotide ribosomal RNA is filed under the name Chloroflexota bacterium. RNAcentral describes it as "Chloroflexi bacterium partial 16S ribosomal RNA". It matches the Rfam family "Bacterial small subunit ribosomal RNA", at positions 355 to 776 of the family's 1533-position model. Lineage: Bacteria; Bacillati; Chloroflexota. The record is from RNAcentral.